UGGGGAAUAUUGGACAAUGGGGGGAACCCUGAUCCAGCCAUGCCGCGUGUGUGAAGAAGGCCUUAUGGUUGUAAAGCACUUUAAGCGAGGAGGAGGCUCUUUUGGUUAAUACCCAAGAUGAGUGGACGUUACUCGCAGAAUAAGCACCGGCUAACUCUGUGCCAGCAGCCGCGGUAAUACGGAGGGUGCGAGCGUUAAUCGGAUUUACUGGGCGUAAAGCGUGCGUAGGCGGCUUUUUAAGUCGGAUGUGAAAUCCCCGAGCUUAACUUGGGAAUUGCAUUCGAUACUGGGAAGCUAGAGUAUGGGAGAGGAUGGUAGAAUUCCAGGUGUAGCGGUGAAAUGCGUAGAGAUCUGGAGGAAUACCGAUGGCGAAGGCAGCCAUCUGGCCUAAUACUGACGCUG
This 402-nucleotide ribosomal RNA is filed under the name uncultured bacterium. RNAcentral's name for it is "bacterial SSU rRNA". It matches the Rfam family "Bacterial small subunit ribosomal RNA", at positions 355 to 748 of the family's 1533-position model. The record is from RNAcentral.